This is a long non-coding RNA of Gallus gallus (chicken), 544 nucleotides long. RefSeq lists it as uncharacterized. The record is from RefSeq and is a predicted model, not a curated record. Lineage: Eukaryota; Metazoa; Chordata; Aves; Galliformes; Phasianidae. The transcript is spliced from 3 exons.
GAAAAUCCAGUUGUUAGUUAAAAAGUGUGUUGGAGAAUCAGCAUGCAAUUGGCAGUAACAUCCUGAUGAGCACCAUACACUGUUCUCCUGUGUUAUUUUUGAGAGAAGGAGCAACUCUCCAGCAUGGUGGGGAACAAAAAGGACCUUCCUCACCCUUAAAAAGGAAGAACACAGACCCUGUCCAGACAAGUAAUCACUGCCUACCAUACUGUCUGGUGUGACUUUCACAUCCCUUGAAGGAGCAAAAGCUCUAUGCUUCUCGAAAGCAUAAUCAUAAGUUUGCUGGAGGGAACAGAAACCAUGUGGAGAACAUCACUGUGAUUCAACAAAGGACGGGAGAGAGAAUAAUAUUUGUGCCUUCAGCAAAUUCGAACGUCUGCCCAGAAGGAACUGAUUAGUCCAAGAAACAGCACUAAUGGCAGUCACGGAAGCAAGAGUAUGAUGUGCUGCCUGUACAAGAACAGCAGUGUUCAGCAGUAGUCCAAGUACAGAAUGUAUGUCUGAAAAUAAUAAAGUGCAUUAAUCUCUAGCAGAGCAAUUACCU